UGGUCUAAGUAUAAGGCAUUUAUACUGCGAAACUGCGAAUGGCUCAUUAAAUCAGUUAUCGUUUAUUUGAUAGUACCUUAUUACUUGGAUAACCGUGGUAAUUCUAGAGCUAAUACAUGCUAAAAAUCCCGACUCACGGAGGGAUGUAUUUAUUAGAUUAAAAACCAAUGCCCUUCGGGGCUCCUUGGUGAUUCAUAAUAACUUGUCGGAUCGCAUGGCCUUGCGCUGGCGAUGGUUCAUUCAAAUUUCUGCCCUAUCAACUUUCGAUGGCAGGGUCUUGGCCUGCCAUGGUUACAACGGGUAACGGAGGGUUAGGGCUCGACCCCGGAGAAGGAGCCUGAGAAACGGCUACUACAUCCAAGGAAGGCAGCAGGCGCGCAAAUUACCCAAUCCCGAUACGGGGAGGUAGUGACAAUAAAUACUGAUACAGGGCUCUUUUGGGUCUUGUAAUUGGAAUGAGUACAAUUUAAAUCCCUUAACGAGGAACAAUUGGAGGGCAAGUCUGGUGCCAGCAGCCGCGGUAAUUCCAGCUCCAAUAGCGUAUAUUAAAGUUGUUGCAGUUAAAAAGCUCGUAGUUGAACCUUGGGCCUGGCUGGCCGGUCCGCCUCACCGCGUGCACUGGUUCGGCCGGGCCUUUCCCUCUGGGGAACCCCAUGCCCUUCACUGGGUGUGGCGGGGAACCAGGACUUUUACUGUGAAAAAAUUAGAGUGUUCAAAGCAGGCCUAUGCUCGAAUACAUCAGCAUGGAAUAAUAGAAUAGGACGUGCGGUUCUAUUUUGUUGGUUUCUAGGACCGCCGUAAUGAUUAAUAGGGACAGUCGGGGGCAUCAGUAUUCAAUUGUCAGAGGUGAAAUUCUUGGAUUUAUUGAAGACUAACUACUGCGAAAGCAUUUGCCAAGGAUGUUUUCAUUAAUCAGGAACGAAAGUUAGGGGAUCGAAGACGAUCAGAUACCGUCGUAGUCUUAACCAUAAACUAUGCCGACUAGGGAUCGGACGAUGUUAUUUUUUGACUCGUUCGGCACCUUACGAGAAAUCAAAGUCUUUGGGGUCCUGGGGGGGAGU
RNAcentral lists this ribosomal RNA (1061 nucleotides) under Hypoxylon aurantium. RNAcentral describes it as "SSU rRNA". It matches the Rfam family "Eukaryotic small subunit ribosomal RNA", at positions 55 to 1124 of the family's 1831-position model. Lineage: Eukaryota; Fungi; Ascomycota; Sordariomycetes; Xylariales; Hypoxylaceae. The record is from RNAcentral.